GUAAAUGAUUAACAUACGGAUUUACGUGUUAUGUCAUUAUAUUAUCACUGUAGGUGUUGUUUAAAUAGAAGCUGUACUUGUUCAGAAUUCAGAUUUGUCAAGGGAUCUGUCAGGAACAGAGAAUGAAUCAGAUGAAGAUAUUGAGCCAGAACUGAAACCGUCUACAGAGCAAGCCCAGGAAACCUCAUCUGAGCAAGCAACAGAACCAACCAGUACCACAUCUGUUCCCAAAGGUGUUAAGGUGGUAAAGAAAAAGAAAUGGGAGAUCAGUGAAGUGAAGGCAGUUGAAAAACAUCUGUCCAGGUUCAUCAAAACUUGCACAGUGCCAGGAAAAAAAAACAUGGUGAGGCCUGUAUUAAAGCUGAGCCUGUUGCACUGAACGGCAGGGACUGGUUACCUGUUAAGUUCUUCGUAAAGAAUAGAAUCACAGCUCUUAAAAGGUUAAUGUAACCCAGAAAAAAGUCUGCAUGAUUUCAUUUCAUUUGCACAGAUCAUUGGUAGUUUUAGUUUAUUAUUAUUAUUAUUAUUAUUAUUAUUAUUAUUAUUAUUAUUAAGUUUAAGGAUGGAAAUUUGUAUUGUACAAUUUUUUUUUUUCUAAUUCUUUACAUUUCAUUUGUGACAAACUUUUGAGUGUUAAUUAGUAACUGCCUGAAAAUAUUAUCUGUGCAAAAAUACUGC
Ictalurus punctatus (channel catfish) is the source of this 678-nucleotide long non-coding RNA. The record is from Ensembl. NCBI's taxonomy places the organism in Eukaryota, Metazoa, Chordata, Actinopteri, Siluriformes, Ictaluridae.